GUAGUACUGGGGCGAGGAGGAGGAACUUCCAAUGGCUUCUGCUUUAAAUUGGUGAUUAGCCAAUUAAUCCUCACAGAACCCGGAGGGAUUCAAGUGUUAUUGAAAUCUGCAAAGUGUUUUUGAAGAUAUCAAAGAAAAUUCAAGUGCAGCAUCCUCAACGAGUGAUGGGGUCUGUUUUGGACAUGUUUCUACACCAAGAC
Long non-coding RNA from Lacerta agilis (Sand lizard), 200 nucleotides. RefSeq lists it as uncharacterized. Lineage: Eukaryota; Metazoa; Chordata; Lepidosauria; Squamata; Lacertidae. The record is from RefSeq and is a predicted model, not a curated record. The transcript is spliced from 3 exons.